This 457-nucleotide ribosomal RNA is filed under the name uncultured bacterium. RNAcentral describes it as "bacterial SSU rRNA". It matches the Rfam family "Bacterial small subunit ribosomal RNA", at positions 28 to 498 of the family's 1533-position model. The record is from RNAcentral.
GACGAACGCUGGCGGCGCGCCUAACACAUGCAAGUCGAACGAGAGAUGAGGAGCUUGCUCUUCAAAUCGAGUGGCGAACGGGUGAGUAACGCGUGAGGAACCUGCCUCAAAGAGGGGGACAACAGUUGGAAACGACUGCUAAUACCGCAUAAGCCCACGGCUCGGCAUCGAGCAGGGGGAAAAGGAGCAAUCCGCUUUGAGAUGGCCUCGCGUCCGAUUAGCUAGUUGGUGAGGUAAUGGCCCACCAAGGCGACGAUCGGUAGCCGGACUGAGAGGUUGAACGGCCACAUUGGGACUGAGACACGGCCCAGACUCCUACGGGAGGCAGCAGUGGGGAAUAUUGCACAAUGGGGGAAACCCUGAUGCAGCGACGCCGCGUGGAGGAAGAAGGUCUUCGGAUUGUAAACUCCUGUUGUUGAGGAAGAUAAUGACGGUACUCAACAAGGAAGUGACGGCU